Molecule: ribosomal RNA, 235 nt
Filed under: uncultured bacterium
Lineage: Bacteria
Description: partial 16S ribosomal RNA
Rfam family: Bacterial small subunit ribosomal RNA
Source: RNAcentral
UGGGUAACCUGCCUCGAUGACCGGGACAACCCGAGGAAACCCGGGCUAAUACCGGAUGUGCUCCUUCACAUCAGUGAAGGCAGGAAAGGAAGCUUCGGCCUCCGCAUCGAGAUGGGCCCGCGGCCCAUUAGCUUGUUGGUGAGGUAACGGCUCACCAAGGCUGCGAUGGGUAGCUGGUCUGAGAGGACGAUCAGCCACACUGGGACUGAGACACGGCCCAGACCUCUACGGGAGG